AAAACAUUAUGGAGUUUAUUUGCAGAAAGUUACAUAGUCAGAAGUCAGGAUGAUGACCACAGACACAUUCGCGUGUGAGAAGGAAGGCACACUAUCACAUGAACAAGGAAAUAGCACGUGAGACUGUACAGACCAGACACCUAAAGGCCAGGCUGUGUGACAGUUCAAGACAUCAUGGCAGCUCGUGAACCAAUACUUUAGCCUGGUGUGAGAAGGCACAUACACAGAGAUUUUCCUAAAUAUGCAGGACUUAACUAAAAUGUCUUUACUGAUAUUAAUUUUAUACUGCGCAGGGCUUUAUCACGUGGAUGUAAUUUCACUGAAUCAUGACAAAUAGCUUUUGUCUGGAAACUAAAGUAUAUUCAUGCAGUCAAGCUUGUUCAUUUUUACAGCAGAGACUACUUAAAGUUGGUAUAUUUCAAAGUUUAUAUGUAUAUUUCAAAAUGCAUUGAAGUAGCUUGUAUCAGAAAUAGUUAGAACUCAACAUGUGAAGCAGUCAGGCUUUUCCCACUGCACUGACAUGUCAUGAAGCUUGAAGCACUUGUAUUAGUCUCUCAUUAGAAACUAGUAGUAAACCAUCAUUUUUAUAAUACAAGAAAGGACUCUAACCUGACCGAGGACCAAAAAUUACUUUUAUUUUCAUAAUUGCAUUUAACUUUCACAGAAUUGCUAGAAUGAAUCAGAACACUGCAAAGUUCUGCAUCUUGCUCAGCACUGAACAGUAACAUGACUGUUAAUGAUACAAAAAGACUGCAAAUAGUUUCAGAGUUGAAAAUCUACCAUGAAAAUGAAAAGGUAGAUUCACAGCAUAAUCAUUGAAUGCACUUCUGCUGAAAAUGUCUAGCAGUUUAUAGCCUGUGUGACAUGUCAUCACUUCUGCAGCCAGAGUAGUACCAGAAGCUGGUAAUUUACUAAGGAAAAAAAGACUUAGAUAUGGAAGCAUCUGUGCCAUUUUCCAUCUGUAUCGCCAUUUUCAGUGCUUCACAAGUAAUAAUAAUCACAAUAAGAAUAUAUUUCAGGAAAUUUCAUAAAGCAGGCACAAACAGGAUGUGCCCUUCCUGUGCACAGAGUCAACAACUGUUCUGUGACAUGUAAAAUUUCAAAACAGAACUCAAGUGGGGCCUGAGUGAUGUACAGGCUUUGCACUGUCAUUUGCCCAUGAAUGAGUACCACAAACAGCAUGGAGGUAUCUGAGUAAAUGAAGAGUUUGCACUUACUGAAGCUAUUGAUGCUGCUUCUGUUUGUAUUUAAUAUGAUUCAGAAGUACCAUCAAAUCUAGAAACACCAAUUUGUUUACCACAUUUGGAUGUGAUCUGACUCUAAGAAAUUGAGGAGAGAUGAAGAAUAGCAUCUGCUUUUAUUAAAUUCUAAAAACCUUCACAGUAUGCGGCACCGGUAGUGACAGAAAAGAGAGACAAGAUUGCACUGGCAUCUUUUCUACCCAAAAUGUUAAUGUCAGUCAUGAGUAAUCAAAUGGCUACAGUAAUUAUCUAAUCUGUUCCCUUUAUUUGUAUUGCUUGAAAUGCAUUUAUAAUAUUCUGUUGCCACAGGAUUUGUGACCACGUGCUUUAGGAACUGCUCCUACACAUUCUGUACAUGCAAGUAGGCCUCAGUGGUGGGCGUCAUUCCACUGACCUCAUCACAACUGGGCAGAGAGGAGCAGCCUCGUGGAGAGUAGUUUGGAUUUCUGUGAGAAGCCUGAACUGCUGCAGGCACCGAGCUGAUGUGUUUUUUCCCUUUUGCUGUUGCUAACAUGCCUUGCAGCUUCACCCAUGUGCAAUGUGAUAGAUUGUACCAUUUCUAGUAUCCACCUUCCUCUUGGGGCUAGCUUAUGGCUUUGCCUGAGGCACUGCAUUCUGCCACAGAGCCACAGUCACAGAUUAUGAGUCUGAUGCGGGUGGGAGAAAAGAAAGAGGCUGGAAUCAACAAGCCCAAGUCAAUGCCAGACUCUCAUUAGUCCUUUGGCAGGGGCUCAAGCCUGCAAGUACUGCUGAAUGAUCAAGGAAAAUAGGUAUUUGAUUUCAAGAGCAUGGGACUUUCUAUUCGGAGAUGUAUGUCUGCAUGCUUAGCAUGCACCACAUUUACUGAUAAGAAAAUGAAGAUUAAAAAAAAAAAAAAUCCCAGUCCCUUGGUGAUGCUGGUGGCUUAAAAUUUCCCUGGUAAGAGCCCUAAGAUCUUUUAGGAAGCCUACCAUGCCAAACAUCGUGUCAUGUUUAAUCCUGUACUUGUCCUUUAUAUGGUACUCCUGUUGACGUCAGUGGAAACUUGACUUGUGAGAGUACAGAAGAAUCAGGCUGAAUGGAUUUUGUCAACAGUAAAAUUGAAUGGAAGGAAACCUUCUGAAGUGUACCAAAAUCUUAUUCCUUCUCACAACAUAAAGAGAUGUUUUUUGGUGUGUACUUUAAGGGUUUUUACCUAUAUGGGUUUAUGUCUCUCCGCAUUUACUGACUUGAUAUACUGGAUAGCAUGACUGGCAGAUUUGAAAGUGACUGAUGCAAAGUAUCUAUAAUAAUAGAACAAGGAAUGACUAAUAAAUGUGUAACAUGCAUUUCCAUUUGUUGUUCUACAUCACACACCACAGCCAUUUCUAAAUAACUUCUGUGUAUACAGUUUUGCCAUCAAAUUUCCAUUUUGUGGUCGCUAAACCAUAUUGAAGCAUGCAAAUGUGAGAACACACACAGUGUUAAUCACUAAUAAGCUUUAAAUAUUUACUGCUUAUACUUGAAAGAAUCUGAGAAAUGUCCGUAAUUUUUUAAGUGACUUCCAGUUGGUUACAUUUCCUGUUACCAAUAGUACCCAUUACACAAAUAGACUUUUCUCCCUCCUCUUACAAAUACAAACAAAAGAUGCAGAUUUUACAAUGCAGAAUGUAAAUGAUGAAGUCAUUCUGGUGUUGUUAUUCUAGAUUUACAAUGACCUCACUGAAAAGAGAACCUAGUCCCCCGCGGUUAAAUCACAACAGAACGAUAUUAAAACCAGAUUUGAAUAAACCAUCUUAAUAAGAAAAUGGAUUAAGUUACAAUGUCACUUCCAUACCGAAAACUGCUCAGAGCAAGACACAGAAAAGCCUUCGAACAAGACCGUCUGCAAGCGCACUCGGCUAGGAGCUGCCCCUCGGGGCCAGGGAAGCGGCACGGCACGGAACGGAGCCGCCGCUGGAAGGGCUGCCAAGGUCCGAUCCCUCCUGUCCUGCCACAGAGCACCGGAGCGUUGCGCAAUAGGAAAACAUCUAAAAUUAUGUAUUGCACAGUUUUGUUCUCGCUAAUCCAGCCUCGAGAGCGGUAGCUGAGCCGCACUCACAGUUAAGCGUGUAAUGCCUCAAUGAUAAGAAUUACACGUAAGCGCAGCUCGACCUGCAGCUUCUCCGGAGGCGAUCAGGAAAAACGCACUACGGAGCAAUAAGCGGUGACGUGCCCGUUUUUCUGAAGCCCCACCGCAGCUCCUCUCCGCAACUCCGCCGAUCUCCGCCUCCAAAACCUGGCACCUGCGACAAACCCCGGCUGCAGGACCCCCGGCACUGCUGAACUGCCCUCUUCCCUCUUUUCCCUCCGCUCCCGGCAGGGAGCAGCACCCGACCGCCCUGCCGCGCCGCGCACCCGCACGUACACACAGACGCAG
This is a long non-coding RNA of Taeniopygia guttata (zebra finch), 3618 nucleotides long. The record is from Ensembl. NCBI's taxonomy places the organism in Eukaryota, Metazoa, Chordata, Aves, Passeriformes, Estrildidae.